Molecule: ribosomal RNA, 406 nt
Filed under: uncultured bacterium
Lineage: Bacteria
Description: partial 16S ribosomal RNA
Rfam family: Bacterial small subunit ribosomal RNA
Source: RNAcentral
AUUGAACGCUGGCGGCAGGCUUAACACAUGCAAGUCGAGCGAGCGGCGGACGGGAGAGAAAUGUCUGGGAAACUGCCUGAUGGAGGGGGAUAACUACUGGAAACGGUAGCUAAAACCGCAAAGCAUCAGCUGUGCCCAGAUGGGAUUAGCUAGUAGGUGGGGUAAUGGCUAACCUAGGCGACUAUCCCUAGCUGGUCUGAGAGGAUGACAAGCCAAACUGGAACUGAGACACGGUCCAGACUCCUACGGGAGGCAGCAGUGGGGAAUAUUGCACAAUGGGCGCAAGCCUGAUGUAGCCAUGCCGCGUGUGUGAAGAAGGCCUUCGGGUUGUAAAGCACUUUCAGCGAGGAGGCGUUACUCGAAGAAGAAGCACCGGCUAACUCCGUGCCAGCAGCCGCGGUAAUAC